This 648-nucleotide ribosomal RNA is filed under the name Lactarius luculentus. RNAcentral describes it as "eukaryotic LSU rRNA". It matches the Rfam family "Eukaryotic large subunit ribosomal RNA", at positions 1 to 612 of the family's 3401-position model. Lineage: Eukaryota; Fungi; Basidiomycota; Agaricomycetes; Russulales; Russulaceae. The record is from RNAcentral.
UUGACCUCAAAUCGGGUGAGACUACCCGCUGAACUUAAGCAUAUCAAUAAGCGGAGGAAAAGAAACUAACAAGGAUUCCCCUAGUAACUGCGAGUGAAGCGGGAAAAGCUCAAAUUUAAAAUCUGGCGGUCUUUGGCCGUCCGAGUUGUAAUUUAGAGAAGCGUCUUCCGCGCUGGACCGUGCACAAGUCUCCUGGAAUGGAGCGUCAUAGAGGGUGAGAAUCCCGUCUUUGGCACGGAUGCCCGGUGCUUUUGUGAUGCGCUCUCGAAGAGUCGAGUUGUUUGGGAAUGCAGCUCAAAAUGGGUGGUGAACUCCAUCUAAAGCUAAAUAUUGGCGAGAGACCGAUAGCGAACAAGUACCGUGAGGGAAAGAUGAAAAGCACUUUGGAAAGAGAGUGAAACAGUACGUGAAAUUGUUGAAAGGGAAACGCUUGAAGUCAGUCGCGUCGACCGAGACUCAGCCUUGCCUUGGCUUGGUGUACUUCUCGGCCCGACGGGUCAGCAUCAAUUUUACCCCUCGGAUAAUGGCAGAGGAAAGGUGGCACCUUUACGGGUGUGUUAUAGUCUCCUGUCGCAUGCAAGGGGUGGGAUUGAGGAACUCAGCGCGCACCUCAGUGUCGGGGCUUCGGCCCACGUCACGCGCUUAGGA